RNAcentral lists this long non-coding RNA (579 nucleotides) under Vitis vinifera (wine grape). Its description in RNAcentral is "long non-coding RNA (VVIN_LNC005787)". The record is from RNAcentral. Lineage: Eukaryota; Viridiplantae; Streptophyta; Magnoliopsida; Vitales; Vitaceae.
CAAGCCAAUACAAAAAAUACAUCAACAGAAAUAGAAAAUGAGGGAGAAAAACAUGAUUCAAACAACUAGUGAAGAAGAUAAUAGUUUGAUAAUGGUGAUGAAGAGAGAGGUUGGGAGCUGAAGCUUUAGAUAGAGAAGAAGAGAGCAGCUAUGGUUUCGAACGUCCUUCGAUCUGCACACCAUCGAGUUCUAAGAAGAAAAGUUUAAGGUUGGGUUUCAUGGAUAUUUAGGAUAUUUGGGAAAAUAUGAGGUUAGACUUUCACAGGAUUUAGGCUUUUUAGAUUAAGAGGAAGACAUACAAAGGUUAAGGUUUCAAGAAUGCUGGAUCUUGAGAGUGAGAUGAGCAGAUGGAAUCUUUGGGCUCAAUGUUGAUGGAGAAAGUUAAGGUAGUGAGAGAAUAUGAAAUUUUCUUUUCACAUGGAUGCUUAAUCGGGGAUGAGUGGAUAAAGGAAUGGUAAGUUUGGCAUCAAAACUAUAUCAACCCAAACAGAGUGUAAUCCAAACUAUUUUUGGGAUUGACAAUGUUAACUUUAAAUUUUCAAAGUUGGGUUCUCAAUCUCACAAUAUUUUGAGUGUUCG